AGUGAACGCUGGCGGUAGGCCUAACACAUGCAAGUCGAACGGCAGCACAGUAAGAGCUUGCUCUUACGGGUGGCGAGUGGCGGACGGGUGAGGAAUACAUCGGAAUCUACUUUUUCGUGGGGGAUAACGUAGGGAAACUUACGCUAAUACCGCAUACGACCUACGGGUGAAAGCAGGGGAUCUUCGGACCUUGCGUGAUUGAAUGAGCCGAUGUCGGAUUAGCUAGUUGGCGGGGUAAAGGCCCACCAAGGCGACGAUCCGUAGCAGGUCUGAGAGGAUGAUCAGCCACACUGGAACUGAGACACGGUCCAGACUCCUACGGGAGGCAGCAGUGGGGAAUAUUGGACAAUGGGCGCAAGCCUGAUCCAGCCAUACCGCGUGGGUGAAGAAGGCCUUCGGGUUGUAAAGCCCUUUUGUUGGGAAAGAAAAGCAGCAGGUUAAUACCCCGCUGUUCUGACGGUACCCAAAGAAUAAGCACCGGCUAACUUCGUG
Molecule: ribosomal RNA, 492 nt
Filed under: uncultured bacterium
Lineage: Bacteria
Description: partial 16S ribosomal RNA
Rfam family: Bacterial small subunit ribosomal RNA
Source: RNAcentral